RNAcentral lists this small nuclear RNA (104 nucleotides) under Dasypus novemcinctus (nine-banded armadillo). The record is from RNAcentral. Lineage: Eukaryota; Metazoa; Chordata; Mammalia; Cingulata; Dasypodidae.
GUGCUCGUUUAGGCAGCACAUAUAUUACAAUUGGAAUGAUACAGAGAUUAGCAUGGCCCCUAUGCAAGGACGACAGGUAAAUUUGUGAAGCAUUCCAUAUUUUU